This is a long non-coding RNA of Gasterosteus aculeatus aculeatus (three-spined stickleback), 409 nucleotides long. The record is from Ensembl. Lineage: Eukaryota; Metazoa; Chordata; Actinopteri; Perciformes; Gasterosteidae.
UUCACCUGAGGCCUCACUGCCCUCGUCCAUCCCCUCACAAACCCCCUGCUGGUCAAGGGAUGGACCUGCUAGAAAAACAGCCAGUGCUGGAGCAGCCAUUCUAAUACUCACAAACCCCAACGACGGAAAAUAAACACAGAACCAUGAGAGGACAUCAGCGAGCCACCAGAAGCGCUCUGCCAUCAGAUCUGCAGAACCCCUCUCUUCCCCCCCAAAGAUUUACAAUGACAGGUCUUUAUAGACCUGCACCAGCUGCAUCCAAUAAAGAAGGGGAGGAGUCCAGGUUGGUCGAAUCCAAUCGGCUACACCUUGGGUGAAGGGUAGCCAUCUUCCCUGCAGAUUUCCUGUACAUGGAAAGACAGGACACAAACCAACACAAACACCCCCAAAACGUAACACCGGCCGAUGA